This 343-nucleotide ribosomal RNA is filed under the name Antrolana lira. Its description in RNAcentral is "partial 16S ribosomal RNA". Lineage: Eukaryota; Metazoa; Arthropoda; Malacostraca; Isopoda; Cirolanidae. The record is from RNAcentral.
AAAUAGCUGCAGAAUUUUGACUGUGCUAAGGUAGCAUAAUAAUUUUCUUUUUAAUUGAGAGGUUGGAUGAAUGGGUUAACAGAAUCGUUGCUGUACCUUGCUUUUUUUUAAAAUUUUCUUUUAAAGUUAAAAAGUUUUAUAGCAAAAGACGAUUAGACCCGUGUGAACAUUUUGCUUCGCUCAAUAUAAUUACAGAAUAGAAAUUUAUUUUAUACAAUAAGUUCGACUCGGGGCGGUUAAUAUACUAUAACUAUUUUAUAUAAGAGACAAAAAUGUAAAUAUUUAAAACACUUAGAAAAUUGAAUAAAUUACUCCAGGGAUACACAGCACAAUUUCUUUUUAU